RNAcentral lists this ribosomal RNA (465 nucleotides) under uncultured Klebsiella sp. RNAcentral describes it as "bacterial SSU rRNA". It matches the Rfam family "Bacterial small subunit ribosomal RNA", at positions 338 to 795 of the family's 1533-position model. Lineage: Bacteria; Pseudomonadati; Pseudomonadota; Gammaproteobacteria; Enterobacterales; Enterobacteriaceae. The record is from RNAcentral.
CCUACGGGUGGCUGCAGUGGGGAAUAUUGCACAAUGGGCGCAAGCCUGAUGCAGCCAUGCCGCGUGUGUGAAGAAGGCCUUCGGGUUGUAAAGCACUUUCAGCGGGGAGGAAGGCGUUAAGGUUAAUAACCUUGGCGAUUGACGUUACCCGCAGAAGAAGCACCGGCUAACUCCGUGCCAGCAGCCGCGGUAAUACGGAGGGUGCAAGCGUUAAUCGGAAUUACUGGGCGUAAAGCGCACGCAGGCGGUCUGUCAAGUCGGAUGUGAAAUCCCCGGGCUCAACCUGGGAACUGCAUUCGAAACUGGCAGGCUAGAGUCUUGUAGAGGGGGGUAGAAUUCCAGGUGUAGCGGUGAAAUGCGUAGAGGUCUGGAGGAAUACCGGUGGCGAAGGCGGCCCCCUGGACAAAGACCGACGCUCAGGUGCGAAAGCGUGGGGAGCAAACAGGAUUAGAUACCCCAGUAGUC